CGAGCCUGAGUAAAAGACAUGUGACAAAAUAGGUUUGCACACACAAUCUGGACAGGGCAAAACAAGAACCAAAACAAACUCCUAAAAUGUCACAAGAAGGGGCGAUAUGAGCAAAGGAAUAUACCUUUACCCAGUCUUCCAUAUCUCCAUCUUCAAUCACUUCUAACACCUCAUGUUCCUCAAUGGUCAACUCAUCUGGUUGAGAAGCCUGCAAUGUAGGAUGGUCAUGGACAAAAUUAAAAAGGUUAGAUAAAGAGCAGAUGUGCGCUGAUCAUAACAAAAACUGGGGAUCAAAAUAUUGAAAUGAUUUUGAAAAACAUACCAAACAUAAAAAUUUAAGUGUUGUAAAACUAUCGUAAUGAGGUGAAGUUUUACUUUAAAAAAUUAAACAAAAUAAAGCCACAGCAAAAACUGGAGAAACGGAAUCCUCAAGAGACAAUCAGGUGCAGUGAACACAGCACUCUGCUGGAAGCAGGGGACCAGGGUUCCAGCUCCAGCUUGUUUCUAUUGGUUAUUCAACUUCUUGAUGCCUCCAUUUCUUCAAAAUGACAAUCCUGCCAUUCUGGGGAGGAUGAGGGAGUCAAUGUGGGAUGAAUAAGCUGAGAACCAUGAUGAUCUGUGAAGCACAGGCACAGGAGCAAGCGCUGAAUUAGAACGGCACCGGAGGGCUACCAUGGAAGCACAGGCCGUGAAAAUGCAGAGAACUAUGUACAUGGAUUGGAUGACAGCUUGAGCAGCGCCUAGAACUGAUCUGGAAUCACUGUGCGAUAAACAAUGGCCAGGAGAAUUAGAGUUGCAGGAAAGAAAAUGGCUGAGAUCGUCCACAAUUUGGAUUUAUUAUGCUCUAACUUAACUGUGGAGAAUGGGCUGAUCCACUUAGAUGCUUUUGUACAGGAUGCUAACUGUGAUGGUUUUAUGGUCUCUGACGCAGGAGUUCACUAGCGCUGGCCACCCAGAUACUGCUCCCGAGACUGCAGAAUCUGAGCGCAACCUCUAAGGGGCUCAGCAGAGAGGCUGGAGAGAAACUGUGUGGCUUUGUUUCCUAAAGAGACUUGCCGGUCACAUGUAACAGGGCGGGGCCUGCUAGCAUCUUCUGGUUCUCUGUAACUGAAGCAAUGGCCUAGACCAAGAUGGUGAAAGGCGAAUGGGCUCAGGCGACAUGGUACAAUAUUCUCUCGUGGUGCAGCAGCAGCAGCAAGCUACGGCUCCCAGUCAGCCACAAUGUCACAAGGGUAAACAAGGCUUCAUGCCUGGUGUGGAGGCCAGUGUAGGGC
Long non-coding RNA from Herpailurus yagouaroundi (jaguarundi), 1274 nucleotides. RefSeq lists it as uncharacterized. The transcript has 4 exons. Lineage: Eukaryota; Metazoa; Chordata; Mammalia; Carnivora; Felidae. The record is from RefSeq and is a predicted model, not a curated record.